CUCUAAAUUCUUGCAAGAAUAUAUUCCUUUGCUAAAUAAUAUGUGUCAAAACGUUUACACUUGACGACACCAUUAAAGUUGCGGAUCAAAAAACGACAUAAUACAAAAGGUUUUAGUAAAACAUGAAGGUACAUAAGCAUGUUCUCUAGAAUUUGCAGAUUCAUUCACAAUAAGGCUAAGCAUUUCAGUAAAAUUUCUUCUCUUUCAAGCAUUCAGCAGUUUCCUUGACGCUUUCAGCCAGGGGAAUGAAUUCAAUACCCAAUUUUUUGGUUCUUUCGACGUUAACCUGGUACAUUGGCGUAAAUGGCUUAUCAUCAGCACACCUGGA
RNAcentral lists this long non-coding RNA (328 nucleotides) under Solanum tuberosum (potato). Its description in RNAcentral is "long non-coding RNA (STUB_LNC001265)". Lineage: Eukaryota; Viridiplantae; Streptophyta; Magnoliopsida; Solanales; Solanaceae. The record is from RNAcentral.